Lactuca sativa (garden lettuce) is the source of this 1429-nucleotide non-coding RNA. Lineage: Eukaryota; Viridiplantae; Streptophyta; Magnoliopsida; Asterales; Asteraceae. The record is from RefSeq and is a predicted model, not a curated record.
UCCGAAGGUGUUAGCCCUUUUUUUUUUAAGAAAAAAAAAACAGUAUGAGGGCCCCAAUUUUGUUUUUGGUCCGGCCCCAUUUUGUCUCUGUCACCUCUCAUCCCUUACCAAAAUUGUAAUUUUAUCUCACCAAAGUCAUAAUUUACUACCUCUCAUCCUCUUGUAUGUCCCAAAUCUCAAAUAGGAAUUGAUAAUCACUAAAUUGGAACUCUUGGCACAUCAAUCCUCCUUGACUUGGAAAAAGCUCGGGAUUUAAGGGGUAGGGGUGUUUGUCCCUUAAUGAUAUUGCUUGAUUGAAUCCAUUCCUGAUGCUGUUGGUCCUGGUGUGCCGAUUUCUUAUAAAUAACAGGUGAUAUAUUGUUAGCUAUUCAUAUUGCAUGGAAAAUAGCCAAAACUUGUGGUGGUUAUGUGGGACUUUGGUAGUUUUGAAGUUGUACGGUUUGCAAAAUUGUUUACACCAAGGGAUGUUGAUGGAAGUCCUCCUUUGGUUAUAGAUCAAUCUUUUAGCCUAAUCAGACAACAAAUUCCAUACUUCAGAAAUAAGUUUAAAUGCACUAAUAUAUUUGUUUUUAUCAGCCAACUUUCUGUACUAUUUCCUGAUUGUCGAGUAUCCAGGCUGGAUGAAGUAUGUUUUGAAAAGUUUCAACAGUGCAGUUCGUUAACUUAAUUUUUAUUUUAGAGCAGGACAUAAGUUAGAAGCUACCACUGAAAAAGCUCAUGAUUUCACUUAAUACCUGUUGUUCCCUUUUGUUUAUUGAAAUAUGCAGUUUGUUGGUUUUUGAGAACUAUUCCUUCCAUGAAUUUAAUCGCAGUUUUAAUAACACAAACUGGUUGAAAGUAUCUUUGGUUUGUGAAAAUGGCUUAUGGUGAAGUUUAGAUUUGUUUCUGUUUAAUAUGUUCAAUAUAUUGUUCUUUAACAUGAUAAUGAUGAUUACGUUGUUACAUUUGAUGGAUAUCAAUGAAAGCCCUGUGUAUGUUCUUUUCAAACCAUCUGAUGGAGGCUCGGCUGCAACACAAUGUAACUCUAGAGUCUGGACAUUUUUACCCUUUAAUGAUGGUGAUUAUGUUUCUAUGUUUUGUGAAACUUUUAUCAUUUUAUGUAGUGGCUUCUCACUUGACGGGGAUACAUAGUGAUAUAAAGAUGUUCAAUAGUAGAAUUUGUGUGCUUUACCACUAUCCGAUUGUUAUUGAGAUUCUUUGCUAUAGAAAUGGCGGGAAUACUUGAAUAAAUGGAAGAAUUGUAGGAACUCUAGAAAAAGUUUGGGUUGUUGUAUAGUGAAUGGACCAUGUAUAUGUUGAUAGAAAAUGCAUAGAACAAAAGUUUUUUUUUUUUUUUUGGAGUAAGCUGAAAUAGCAACCCACUUUUCAUAUUUAUCCAAAAUAGCAAUGUAAUUAUUAUUUUUAAUCAAAAUUAGCAUUUGUUAUUCUU